ACUAAAGGAAGGCAACCUAAGUGCGCUGCGUCCUGUAGCAAUGGUUGCAUGACCAACAUCCUGUUGG
RNAcentral lists this small RNA (67 nucleotides) under Sporosarcina sp. HYO08. RNAcentral's name for it is "Bacillaceae-1 RNA". It matches the Rfam family "Bacillaceae-1 RNA". The record is from Rfam by way of RNAcentral. Lineage: Bacteria; Bacillati; Bacillota; Bacilli; Caryophanales; Caryophanaceae.